CAGUCGAGCGGACGAUGGGAGCUUGCUCCCUGAAGUCAGCGGCGGACGGGUGAGUAACACGUGGGCAACCUGCCUGUAAGACUGGGAUAACUUCGGGAAACCGGAGCUAAUACCGGAUAAUGCUUUUGGACUCAUGUCCUUAAGCUGAAAGAUGGUUUCGGCUAUCACUUACAGAUGGGCCCGCGGCGCAUUAGCUAGUUGGUGAGGUAACGGCUCACCAAGGCAACGAUGCGUAGCCGACCUGAGAGGGUGAUCGGCCACACUGGGACUGAGACACGGCCCAGACUCCUACGGGAGGCAGCAGUAGGGAAUCUUCCGCAAUGGACGAAAGUCUGACGGAGCAACGCCGCGUGAGUGAUGAAGGUUUUCGGAUCGUAAAACUCUGUUGUUAGGGAAGAACAAGUAUCGGAGUAACUGCCGGUACCUUGACGGUACCUAACCAGAAAGCCACGGCUAACUACGUGCCAGCAGCCGCGGUAAUACGUAGGUGGCAAGCGUUGUCCGGAAUUAUUGGGCGUAAAGCGCGCGCAGGCGGUCCUUUAAGUCUGAUGUGAAAGCCCACGGCUCAACCGUGGAGGGUCAUUGGAAA
This 589-nucleotide ribosomal RNA is filed under the name Bacillus sp. CH431a_13D. Its description in RNAcentral is "bacterial SSU rRNA". It matches the Rfam family "Bacterial small subunit ribosomal RNA", at positions 59 to 632 of the family's 1533-position model. RNAcentral also lists the same sequence under 1 other name. The record is from RNAcentral. Lineage: Bacteria; Bacillati; Bacillota; Bacilli; Caryophanales; Bacillaceae.